Saimiri boliviensis boliviensis (Bolivian squirrel monkey) is the source of this 2445-nucleotide non-coding RNA. The record is from RefSeq and is a predicted model, not a curated record. NCBI's taxonomy places the organism in Eukaryota, Metazoa, Chordata, Mammalia, Primates, Cebidae.
CGGAUAUUUAAAGGCUGCCGCUGCCUGCGCCACACCAGUCCCGCCAGGACGGCGACAGUGAAGCACCUGGGUUGAGAGGGAGCAGCAAGGUAACCGCGCAACCCGUGCCUCCCUGGCCCCCGCCCGCGCCUCAGCCGAGCCGGGUGUGGGGGGACCCGGGAGUGUGUCUCACUGCGUGUCACCUGCCAACACCUUCCUCCCCCACCAUCCUUACUCAGCCCCAGUCUCACCCAGCAUACCUGGGCGAGGCAACCCGGGUGCGAAGGACAAGAGAUUACGACCGAAGAGCGAGCAAAUCAGGAAGACAGCGGCCUCCUGGAGAGGAAGACGUGAUCCCAGGGGCAGACACGUGGCGCUGCGUGGAGAGACGGGGUGACCAGACGACGCUCUUCCGACCGUCCUGUUUGGCCAAACUUGACGACAGCUUCUGGGUCGCUACCAUCUAGACCUCUCAGAGCCCCCUGAACCAUGACGGAGACCCUCAACAUGAGAGAAGGCCCUCUGAACCUGGGCGGCGGCGGGGCGCACUCGGCCUCCCUGCGCUCCUGGUCGUCCUGCCACCGAAGGCGCCGGGGCGCUCCCGUGUACAAUAGAUGGCACCACUAUAGCCCCAAGACCGAGUAUGGGCCCCCAAGGAAACAGCCAAAGCCACAGCACGGCCCGGGGUUUUGGGUCCAACCACCCGUGUGCUCUAACUGGGGGUGCUGGGGAGGGCCCUGGCGCCCACCCCCUCCGGGAUUCCCGAGGCCCCCUGGCCGGGUGCAAGUGAUUCCUGUGUACGGCCUGCACCCGCUCUGCUUUUGCUGCUGCUCCUGCUGGAGCGGAUCCUGGAACCCUGGCUGGGCGAGGCCCCCAGGCAAGAAGAAGCGCUGGGGCCGCAGGGGCCGCAGGGGCCGCGGCCCGCGCCACCACCCUCGCCGCUCCUCCUCGCGGAGCCCGCCCGCCGAUCUGAGCACGCUGCUGCGGCCGGCCAGCCCGUACGAAUGGCGAGCGCCUGGCAUGCGAGCGCCGCGCAACACCACCCAGUUCAUCAUGGACCAGAUCUACGAGGACAUGCGGCAGCAGGAGGAGCUGCAGCGCCAGCAGCAGGCCCUGGGGGCGCAGCAGGCCCUGGUGGGGGGCGAGGCCUCCCCGGCCGGAUCCUCCGGAAACGACGCGCCCCCUGGCGGCAGCGAGGAAACCUGGGCGCUGCCGGAAACUCUGUAUGACCUUGUGCAGAAUCCUCUGGCAUUCAGUCCCACCCCAGAGGAAAACCAGUCUCCUGCCCCUCUGCUGGUGAAGGAAGACGAGGGGGAAGAGAAAAAUGAUGACGAGUAUGACCAGGAGAUGUGUGAUGUAAAGGAGGAGAGCGAGGAGGAGGAAGGAGAGGUUGAAGAUGAGGAAGGAGAGGUCGAAGAUGAGGAGGAGGAAGAGGAGGUCGAAGAUGAGGAGGAGGAAGAGGUCGAAGAGGCUGAAUACGUGGAGGGGGAGGAGGAGCUGGAAGAGGAGGAGGAGGGGGGCCUGGAGAAGAACAAGCAGGGAGGGGAAGAAUUUCACUUGCCUUUGGAAAUGCCUUUAUCAAUCUUCGUAGGGGCUGAAGAAACGAGAGAGAACUUUAUAAACUGUACUUUUUUAAACCCAGAGCAGAUAAUUCCCAACGUAUCGCAGGAAUCCCUGUUCCUGGCACAGGACUUUAACUGUUAGACAUCAGAAAAGGGAUUGAGGAAAAGGAUGGAACUGAUUUGAGGCUAAACUGGAUUAGCAAUUUAUUAAAAACUGAUUAAAAAUGCUAUGGAUCUUCCUCAGAAGAACAAGAAGUUGCUUCUGUGGAACUGGUUAUCUGCCAUGGCCUCAACAAUCCAUAAUCCAUUCAUGGAGAGGAUUCCCCAUGGUCAGAAGUCAACUUGCACAUCUAGUUAAAAUCCAAGGUAACUGCAAACAAUGGAACAUAGCUUAGGUUCUGAAGCCUCGUUAUUGGAUAUAGUCUUUGUCAUAAGUUCUGAGCAGCCAUAAAGAUAGUUUUGCAGAAUGGAUUUUUUAAAAGAAAAACAUUAUUGACCUUUUGGGGAUGGAAUAUCUUAUUUUGUUUUUCAAUUUGUCUUCCUUAUAAAGGAGAGUAAAACAAAGACAUGUAAGUGUGAGUCUGUGUGAGCUAGUUUCUGAUAUCUAAAUAGCAAUUAUCUAUGGAGAAACGUCAUUCAAAGUAACAGCUUUUGUUCAAACAUUUUUAGGAAGUAAUAAUAUGUUUCUUCCUGGAUAGUUAAUAAAAGUUCCAUCCAUAGCAUAUUUCCAAGAUAUCCUUAGAUGAUGAAUUUGAAUCUGCCGUCUCAGAAAUUACAUCAUUUGACUUUGAACCACAAUUUAGCAUUUAUUUGUUGAAGAGAAGAAUGUGUGGUGAUGUCUUAUCUGAGUGUUGAUUGUUACUGAUAUAUUGCAGUUUUCAAAGUGAUAAGCAUAAGCUAUUAU